Molecule: non-coding RNA, 136 nt
Organism: Brachypodium distachyon (stiff brome)
Lineage: Eukaryota; Viridiplantae; Streptophyta; Magnoliopsida; Poales; Poaceae
Source: Rfam
UGACUAUUCUCUUCGUCCAACAAAUGACGUCUCAACUUUGACUAAAUUUGAAUGCAUCUAUACACUAAGUCAUGUCCAGAUACAUCUAAAUUUUGAUAAAUUUGAGACAUUUUUUGUUGGACGGAGGGAGUAAAAG